AUGAAUCUGUUGGCCUGAAACUGUCGAGGACUGGGGUUGGACUUGACAGUGGGCGAAUUGUGAGACCUGGUACGGUCCUACAACCUAGCGGUGGUGUUUCUUUGUGAGACUAAGAAAAAAGCGAAGGCGAUGGAGAGGCUAAAGUGGAGCUUGGGAUUCAGGAAUGGUGUAGCGGUGGACUGUGUGGGAAAGAGUGGUGGUCUAGCACUAUGGUGGCGUGAUCAUGUGCAAGUUACUGUCCGGCCGUGGUGCCAAUAUUUUCUGGAUGCGGAGGUGGUAGUUGAAGGGCAAACCUGUAGGAUCACUGGAUUCUACGGGGAACAGAAGACGGAGUUACGCAAAAAAAACUGGGACGCACUAUUGUAUUUGCGUGCACAGGAUGACUUGCCGUGGAUUUGUCUAGGUGAUUACAAUGAGGCCUUGUUCCAAAUAGACCAGCUGGGUGGCAAUCAGAGGAGAUUCAUGCAAAUGGAGGCUUUCCGGGACUGUCUAGACGACUGCGGCCUGGCGGACCUGGGGUUCUCGGGAUACCCAUAUACAUGGGAUAAUAAGUGUGAUGGCCAAGAAAAUGUUCAGGUGUGUUUGGAUCGUGCAACAUGCAACGAGGGAUUCUUGGAGAUGUUCCUAGAAUCAGUCGAACACAUCAUUACGGAAGAAUCCGAUCACCAAGCAAUUCUGGUCAGGGCAUUAGAGACGGAUCCAUGUCAAGAACGACCAGGACCCAGACCGUUUCGCUUUGUAGAAGGUUAG
This 750-nucleotide ribosomal RNA is filed under the name Triticum aestivum (bread wheat). RNAcentral's name for it is "partial small subunit ribosomal RNA". The record is from RNAcentral. Lineage: Eukaryota; Viridiplantae; Streptophyta; Magnoliopsida; Poales; Poaceae.